UACGUAGGCAGCAAGCGUUGUUCGGAGUUACUGGGCGUAAAGGUUGUGUAGGCGGUUGGAUAAGUGUGGUGUGAAAUCUCCCGGCUCAACUGGGAGGGUGCGCUACAAACUGUCUGACUCGGGUGUGGGAUGGGUAAGUGGAAUUCCUGGUGUAGCGGUGAAAUGCGUAGAUAUCAGGAGGAACACCGGUGGCGAAGGCGGGUCUCUGGGCAACAACUGACGCUGAGGAGCGAAAGCGUGGGGAGCGAACAGG
This 253-nucleotide ribosomal RNA is filed under the name uncultured bacterium. RNAcentral's name for it is "partial 16S ribosomal RNA". It matches the Rfam family "Bacterial small subunit ribosomal RNA", at positions 524 to 776 of the family's 1533-position model. The record is from RNAcentral.